Oncorhynchus nerka (sockeye salmon) is the source of this 913-nucleotide long non-coding RNA. RefSeq lists it as uncharacterized. The record is from RefSeq and is a predicted model, not a curated record. NCBI's taxonomy places the organism in Eukaryota, Metazoa, Chordata, Actinopteri, Salmoniformes, Salmonidae. The transcript is spliced from 2 exons.
AUCUCGCAUGUUUUUACAUACAUUUUUCAAACUUUCUAAUUUCAGCAUGUCCACGGACUGUUGGAGACGGUCGCCGUGAGGCAUCCUGUGAGGUAACGCGACAGAUCCCGGGGGAAGCUGGCGGGAGCCCCGGGGAGAGUUCUCUUUUCUUGUAAAGGGAAGGGUGCUCUGGAACGAGUUGGCCCCAAGGGAGGGGCCCAAGCCCUGGAAAGCGUUGCGGUUUCGGCAGCGUCCGGUGAGCUCUCCCUGGCCUUUGAAAAUCCGGGGGAGAGGGUGUAAAUCUCAUGCCGGGCCGUACCCGUAUACGCAUCAGGUCUCAAAGGGGAACAGCCUUGUUAUAACAAUGUAGGACCUUAACCCUAGGACCAUGCCUCAGGACUACCUUGCAUGAUGACUCCUUGCUGUCCCCAGUCCACCUGGCCGUGCUGCUGUUCCAGUUUCAACUGUUCUGCCUGUGGCUAUGGAACCCUGACCUGUUCACCGGACGUGCUACCUGUCCCAGACCUGCUGUUUUAAACUCUCUAGAGACAGCAGGAGUGGUAGAGAUACUCUUAAUGAUCGGCUAUGAAAAGCCAACUGACAUUUACUCCUGAGGUGCUGACUUGUUGCACCCUUGCCAACUACUGUGGUUAUUAUUAUUUGACCAUGCUGGUCAUUUAUGAACAUUUGAACAUCUUGGCCAUGUUCUGUUAUAAUCUCCACCCGGCACAGCUAGAAGAGGACUGGCCACCCCUCAUAGCCUGGUUCUUCUCUAGGUUUCUUCCUAGGUUUGGGCCUUUCUAGGGAGUUUUUUCUAGCCACCGUGCUUCUACACCUGCUUGCUAUUUGGGGUUUUAGGCUGGGUUUCUGUACAGCACUUUGAGAUAUCAGCUGAUGUACGAAGGGCUAUAUAAAUACAUUUGAUUUGAUUUAG